UACAGAGGUCCCGAGCGUUGUUCGGAUUUAUUGGGCGUAAAGGGUGCGUAGGUGGAUAAUUAAGUCAGUGGUGAAAUCUUCAGGCUUAACCUGGAAACUGCCAUUGAUACUAUUUAUCUUGAAUACUUUGGAGGUAAGCGGAAUAUGUCAUGUAGCGGUGAAAUGCUUAGAUAUGACAUAGAACACCAAUUGCGAAGGCAGCUUACUACACAGUAAUUGACACUGAGGCACGAAAGCGUGGGGAUCAAACAGG
This 253-nucleotide ribosomal RNA is filed under the name uncultured bacterium. Its description in RNAcentral is "partial 16S ribosomal RNA". It matches the Rfam family "Bacterial small subunit ribosomal RNA", at positions 524 to 776 of the family's 1533-position model. The record is from RNAcentral.